UCAGCAUCGGUUUUUUUUAUUUUGUGUUAGUUUUUUUAGGAAAGAUCUGAUCAAAAAAGCAAUUAGUCGAACUGUCAUGGAGUCAGAGGAGGUUAAUUAUCCUACAGAGACGGAGGGGGAACAGUACGGAGGCUGACAGUGAGCCGCGGUAAUGAAGGUUGUGCUGGAAGGAGAGCGGAGGAGCAGAAAGGUCGAGGUCAUUAGUAAGAGACAGCUGCCGGAGACGGAGUGACACAUCGGGGGACGGGUGAGGAUGACACACCCCUGUCUUCCUGUGAGAGCAGAACAAAAUGAUGAGCUGACAGAUGUUACUGUUUCAUCAGUGAUGCUGUGAGGCAGCAGCAGAAUUAACCACUGGAAACGAUCGUUGUGUGUAAAACACUGUUAAUAUGUAGGUAGCAAUUACUGUUGCUUUGUUAGAAGGCCCUUCACUUUACAUGAGGACUAUUUUUUACAAUUUAAUUGAUGAAAUUAAAAUACUGUUUUUGUUUUCUGUUUUGGGAAAAGAAAAAAGAUGAUUUAAUUGCAGUUUCCAUUCAAAUUUUUUUGAUAUUGAAAUCGUUAUUUUUUGAAGAAUAUAAAACACACUUCAUAACGAUAUAUUAAAACUACUAUUGUAAGUUCCAUGUCUCCUAUUGACAGAACUGACUCUCUUCUUUGUAUUUAUGUCUUUAACAAAUUAAAUAAUAAUAAAAAAGAAACACACUAGGACUUGACAAGUCACACAAAAAAUUCCAGAAUACUGUUGUUGUGACAAUUGAUUUAUUUCCACAUAGAAAUCACUUACAUGAGCUGAAGUGAAAGUCCUCACAAAACAGGGCAAAUGCAGGAAAUCCAGGGAAGCUAAGACACAGAAAUUAUUUUUUAAAAUCCCCCCCCCCAAAAAAAACAUCAU
This is a long non-coding RNA of Cynoglossus semilaevis (tongue sole), 895 nucleotides long. RefSeq lists it as uncharacterized. The record is from RefSeq and is a predicted model, not a curated record. Lineage: Eukaryota; Metazoa; Chordata; Actinopteri; Pleuronectiformes; Cynoglossidae. The transcript has 2 exons.